Molecule: ribosomal RNA, 831 nt
Filed under: uncultured bacterium
Lineage: Bacteria
Description: bacterial SSU rRNA
Rfam family: Bacterial small subunit ribosomal RNA
Source: RNAcentral
UCUUCGGGGAUGAUUAAACCGGCGCACGGGUGAGUAACACGUGAGUGACCUGCCUUUUAGACUGGAACAACUUACCGAAAGGUGAGCUAAUGCCGGAUGAGUUAUAUAAGUGCAUGUUUAUAUAGGAAAAGUUGGGGAGACCUGACGCUGAAAGAUGGACUCGCGUCCCAUUAGCUAGUUGGUAGGGUAAUGGCCUACCAAGGCGACGAUGGGUAGCCGGCCUGAGAGGGUGGCCGGCCACACUGGGACUGAGACACGGCCCAGACUCCUACGGGAGGCAGCAGUGGGGAAUUUUGCGCAAUGCUCGUAAGAGUGACGCAGCGACGCCGCGUGAAUGACGAAGGCCUUCGGGUCGUAAAGUUCUUUCGACAGGGAAGAAAAUGCCUAUAAGUAACUGUGUAUGUAUUGACGGUACCUGUAUAAGCAGCCCCGGCUAACUCCGUGCCAGCAGCCGCGGUAAUACGGAGGGGGCGAGCGUUGUUCGGAGUGACUGGGCGUAAAGAGCACGUAGGCGGUGUUGUAAGUCAUUAGUCAAAGACUAGAGCUCAACUUUAGUAAGGCUAGUGAUACUAUAAUACUAGAGUAUCAGAGAGGAUUGCAGAAUUCCUGGUGUAGCGGUGAAAUGCGUAGAUAUCAGGAGGAAUACCGUUAGCGAAGGCGGCAAUCUGGCUGGAAACUGACGCUGAGGUGCGAAAGCGUGGGUAGCAAACAGGAUUAGAUACCCUGGUAGUCCACGCUGUAAACGAUGGAUGCUAGGUGUUGGGCUUUUAAGUUCAGUGCCGCAGCAAACGCGAUAAGCAUCCCCGCCUGGGGAGUACGUUUGCAAGAAUG